Gossypium arboreum is the source of this 107-nucleotide non-coding RNA. The record is from Rfam. NCBI's taxonomy places the organism in Eukaryota, Viridiplantae, Streptophyta, Magnoliopsida, Malvales, Malvaceae.
AAUCCAUGCAUCAGACAUUUUCGCAGCAAUUCUUUAAACCUUUCCCAAGCUUCAUACAACGUCUCAUCCUCUGAUUGCCAAAAUGAUGUGAUGUCAUUUCUAAGCUU